AGAGUUUGAUCAUGGCUCAGGAUGAACGCUAGCUACAGGCUUAACACAUGCAAGUCGAGGGGCAGCAUGUUGGUUGCUUGCAACCAACGAUGGCGACCGGCGCACGGGUGAGUAACGCGUAUCCAACCUACCCUUGUCCAUCGGAUAACCCGUCGAAAGGCGGCCUAACACGAUAUGCGGUUCACAGCAGGCAUCUAACGUGAACGAAAUGUAAAGGAGAAGGGUGGGGAUGCGUCUGAUUAGCUUGUUGGCGGGGUAACGGCCACCAAGGCUACGAUCAGUAGGGGUUCUGAGAGGAAGGUCCCCCACAUUGGAACUGAGACGACGGUCCAAACUCCUACGGGAGGCA
This 349-nucleotide ribosomal RNA is filed under the name uncultured bacterium. Its description in RNAcentral is "bacterial SSU rRNA". It matches the Rfam family "Bacterial small subunit ribosomal RNA", at positions 8 to 350 of the family's 1533-position model. The record is from RNAcentral.